CAAUACAUCACCGGCGGACGGGUGCGUAACACGUGGGAAUAUACCUUUUGGUUCGGAACAACGCAGGGAAACUUGCGCUAAUACCGAAUGUGCCCUUACGGGGAAAGAUUUAUGCCAAAGGAUUAGCCCGCGUAGGAUUAGCUAGUUGGUGAGGUAAUGGCUCACCAAGGCUCCGAUCCUUAGCUGUUCUGAGAGGAAGAUCAGCCACACUGGGACUGAGACACGGCCCAG
This 231-nucleotide ribosomal RNA is filed under the name uncultured bacterium. RNAcentral's name for it is "partial 16S ribosomal RNA". It matches the Rfam family "Bacterial small subunit ribosomal RNA", at positions 85 to 334 of the family's 1533-position model. The record is from RNAcentral.